AGAGUUUGAUCCUGGCUCAGAUUGAACGCUGGCGGCAUGCUUUACACAUGCAAGUCGAACGGCAGCGCGGGGCAACCUGGCGGCGAGUGGCGAACGGGUGAGUAAUAUAUCGGAACGUACCCAGAAGUGGGGGAUAACGUAGCGAAAGUUACGCUAAUACCGCAUACGAUCUACGGAUGAAAGUGGGGGACCUUCGGGCCUCAUGCUUUUGGAGCGGCCGAUAUCUGAUUAGCUAGUAGGUAGGGUAAUGGCCUACCUAGGCGACGAUCAGUAGCUGGUCUGAGAGGACGACCAGCCACACUGGAACUGAGACACGGUCCAGACUCCUACGGGAGGCAGCAGUGGGGAAUUUUGGACAAUGGGCGCAAGCCUGAUCCAGCAAUGCCGCGUGAGUGAAGAAGGCCUUCGGGUUGUAAAGCUCUUUUGUCAGGGAAGAAACGGUUGGGGCUAAUAUCCUCGGCUAAUGACGGUACCUGAAGAAUAAGCACCGGCUAACUACGUGCCAGCAGCCGCGGUAAUACGUAGGGUGCAAGCGUUAAUCGGAAUUACUGGGCGUAAAGCGUGCGCAGGCGGUUUUGUAAGUCUGUCGUGAAAGCCCCGGGCUCAACCUGGGAAUUGCGAUGGAGACUGCAAGGCUUGAAUCUGGCAGAGGGGGGUAGAAUUCCACGUGUAGCAGUGAAAUGCGUAGAGAUGUGGAGGAACACCGAUGGCGAAGGCAGCCCCCUGGGUCAAGAUUGACGCUCAUGCACGAAAGCGUGGGGAGCAAACAGGAUUAGAUACCCUGGUAGUCCACGCCCUAAACGAUGUCUACUAGUUGUCGGGUUUUAAUUAACUUGGUAACGCAGCUAACGCGUGAAGUAGACCGCCUGGGGAGUACGGUCGCAAGAUUAAAACUCAAAGGAAUUGACGGGGACCCGCACAAGCGGUGGAUGAUGUGGAUUAAUUCGAUGCAACGCGAAAAACCUUACCUACCCUUGACAUGGAAGGAAUCCUGGAGAGAUCCGGGAGUGCCCGAAAGGGAACCUUCACACAGGUGCUGCAUGGCUGUCGUCAGCUCGUGUCGUGAGAUGUUGGGUUAAGUCCCGCAACGAGCGCAACCCUUGUCAUUAGUUGCUACGCAAGAGCACUCUAAUGAGACUGCCGGUGACAAACCGGAGGAAGGUGGGGAUGACGUCAAGUCCUCAUGGCCCUUAUGGGUAG
RNAcentral lists this ribosomal RNA (1200 nucleotides) under uncultured bacterium. Its description in RNAcentral is "bacterial SSU rRNA". It matches the Rfam family "Bacterial small subunit ribosomal RNA", at positions 8 to 1211 of the family's 1533-position model. The record is from RNAcentral.